Molecule: ribosomal RNA, 318 nt
Filed under: uncultured eukaryote
Lineage: Eukaryota
Description: partial 18S ribosomal RNA
Rfam family: Eukaryotic small subunit ribosomal RNA
Source: RNAcentral
CCCUUAGAUGUUCUGGGCCGCACGCGCGCUACACUGACGAUGGCAACGAGUUUUUCCUUCGCCGAAAGGUGUGGGUAAUCUUUUGAAACAUCGUCGUGCUGGGGAUAGAUCAUUGCAAUUUUUGAUCUUGAACGAGGAAUUCCUAGUAAGCGCGAGUCAUCAGCUCGCGUUGAUUACGUCCCUGCCCUUUGUACACACCGCCCGUCGCUCCUACCGAUUGGGUGAUCCGGUGAAUUAUUCGGACUGGCGAGGGGUCUCGGCUUCCUUGCUGGAAAGUUUUGUGAACCUUAUCACCUAGAGGAAGGAGAAGUCGUAACA